GCGAGGGACGGCGCCGCCCCGGGGCUCGUGAUAUCUUAUCUCGCCGCCCGUCGCGAGGCGGACGGAGGGAUGGAUGAGGUUACCUGGAAAAAAUCGGGGCGAUCUAGGCGGGCGAACCUCGCCAACGAACGAUCGGACAUGGGAUAACGGAAGAGGGCGUCGGCUCGACUUCGUCGGUUCCUCGGGCCGAGGCACGUACGGUGAAUAGGGACGGUCGGGGCCGCCCGUACCGGGUCGUGAGAGGUGAAAUUCUAGGAUCGACCCGAGACGAACUGCCGCGAAAGCAUUCGGCAAGGACGCUUUCAUUAAUCAAGAACGAAAGUCGGGGGAUCGAAGACGAUCAGAUACCGUCGUAGUCCCGACCGUAAACGAUGCCGACCGAGGGCCCCGGAGGAGUUACGUACGACCCUCCGGGCCCUCCCGCGAGAAAUCAGGAGUAUUCGGGUUCCGGGGGGAGGUAUGGUCGCAAGGCCG
This 474-nucleotide ribosomal RNA is filed under the name uncultured eukaryote. RNAcentral's name for it is "bacterial SSU rRNA". It matches the Rfam family "Eukaryotic small subunit ribosomal RNA", at positions 727 to 1139 of the family's 1831-position model. The record is from RNAcentral.